GCUGGGGUGGCGGAGUCUGGCCAAACGCGCAGGGCUUAGGACCCUGUAGCUUAGUGCUUGCGCAGGUUCAAAUCCUGCCCCCAGCA
This 86-nucleotide transfer RNA is filed under the name Microcaldota archaeon. Its description in RNAcentral is "tRNA-Leu". It matches the Rfam family "tRNA". From Rfam's summary of the family: Transfer RNA (tRNA) molecules are approximately 80 nucleotides in length. Their secondary structure includes four short double-helical elements and three loops (D, anti-codon, and T loops). Further hydrogen bonds mediate the characteristic L-shaped molecular structure. tRNAs have two regions of fundamental functional importance: the anti-codon, which is responsible for specific mRNA codon recognition, and the 3' end, to which the tRNAs corresponding amino acid is attached (by aminoacyl-tRNA synthetases). tRNAs cope with the degeneracy of the genetic code in two manners: having more than one tRNA (with a specific anti-codon) for a particular amino acid; and 'wobble' base-pairing, i.e. permitting non-standard base-pairing at the 3rd anti-codon position. RNAcentral also lists the same sequence under 1 other name. Lineage: Archaea; Nanobdellati; Microcaldota. The record is from RNAcentral.